UGAACGCUGGCGGCAUGCCUAAUACAUGCAAGUCGAACGAACUAGUUUACUAGUUAGUGGCGAACGGGUGAGUAACACGUAGGUAACCAACCCUUUAAGCGAGGAUAACUCCGGGAAACUGGAGCUAAUACUGGAUAGGAUAUAUUUUCAGAAGAAGAUAUAUUUAAAGAUCCUUUCGGGGAUCGAUAAAGGAUGGACUUGCGUCGCAUUAGAUAGUUGGUGAGGGUAACGGCCCACCAAGUCAACGAUGCGUAGCUGAGCUGAGAGGCUGAACAGCCACACUGGGACUGAGACACGGCCCAGACUCCUACGGGAGGCAGCAGUAGGGAAUUUUCGGCAAUGGGGGAAACCCUGACCGAGCAAUGCCGCGUGAACGAAGAAGGUCUUCGGAUUGUAAAGUUCUUUUAUUCGGGAAGAAAGGUAUGUUCAGGAAAUGGGACAUAUUUGACGGUACCGAUUGAAUAAGCCCCGGCUAACUAC
This 480-nucleotide ribosomal RNA is filed under the name uncultured bacterium. RNAcentral describes it as "bacterial SSU rRNA". It matches the Rfam family "Bacterial small subunit ribosomal RNA", at positions 30 to 504 of the family's 1533-position model. The record is from RNAcentral.